Molecule: long non-coding RNA, 3945 nt
Organism: Tympanuchus pallidicinctus (lesser prairie-chicken)
Lineage: Eukaryota; Metazoa; Chordata; Aves; Galliformes; Phasianidae
Exons: 7
Source: RefSeq, a predicted model, not a curated record
CAGGAAGUCAGGCUGGAGCUCCUCAGAGCUGCAGUGAUGCCAUUUUAUUGACUUAGUGAGCAGUGGAAGUGCAGGAGUACUUAUAAAUCCCAACACGAUCCUCUAGCACGGAGUGCAGGUGAGGCAGCGUUUUCACAAGGACUGGAGGAAUCGUUACAUUUCAUUACUUUAGAGUAACGCCACAUAUUAUUUUAUGUUUCAGCUUAGACUCCUGCUCUGUGGGUGUGCUAAGGCACUGUUCUGUCUCUUAUCGUGCCAGUUUCCAUAGGAAGUUACAAGGAAUCUAGUAGUCAUGUCUUUGAUUCGGGGUGGACAUGGGGUCAAGACCAAGCAAACACAGCACCAAGCUCUCAAUUAACCCCUGGCCUUGAUUUCCUGGGUAAGCUUUGGUUUUAGGUAGAAGCCAUACAAGAUAUUUGCACACCAGCACCCAUUUCAGCUCUACUUUGACACGCUGAAGUCUGCAGCUCUGAGCUGUGGCACGUGAUGGCCCAGUUGCAGGUCUGUGUGAAAGCAAACGGUUGAAUUCAAUGCAAUUCUGUUUACUAUUUCUUUUUCCUGCCGCGAGAGAAACUCAUCUGUUUGCUUCCUGCCUUUGCCAUAUGGUGCUGCAUCUUGCAAAGACGAUGUAUAGGAACUAUUUGAUGUUUAUUUCAGGAAGGAUGUUUAAUCAUUCAACAGCCCCAAGCGAAUUUUACUCCCUUUUAAUUGAUGUUUAAAAACACAUACACUGCGGUCGUGCUUUUCUUGUUGUUUUUCUUUUCCUGAAGCAGCAGGGAGUUUGCCUGCAAGUAACUGAGAAAUGUGGGUGGUAGGUUUUGGCAACAGGACAGCUUUCACUUUUGCACUUCGUUUUGCUGAGAAUAAAAUGCAACAAGAAUUGUCACAUUUGUUUCAGUACCGUAUUUCAGAGAAGGUUUGUAAGCGAGGGUGCUGAAAUGUCUGUGGGUUUCCUUUUUUUUCUUUCCAGAGAGUGCUGAGAAAUAACCUGCUCUGCAGAUGCCAACAGAGGGCACCUAAGUCACAUUUAUUUUUCUUGGCAAACUCCCUUAUUUCUGAGCAAAUUUCCUUUUUCCUAUUAGAAGUGCGAAGGUUUUCUGCUGACAGACAAACUCAGUGAACCUUUGUAAUUGUCUUGACUAGGUUUUGGUUUCUUCUCCUUCAAAACAAACAGGAGGAGGAAGAACGCAGAGAAUAAAGUCAAGAUCCAGCAUAUCGUGUCAUUCAUGGGGAUUUCACGUAGAAUUUGAGCACCUGAGCCUCCUCCCUGCAUCUGGUGCAGACGGAGCCCAGAGGAGCAGCCAGAACAUCUGGGAAUGGACUAGAGGCAUAGAGCUGAGUCUUUGGAGUGGAAGUGCAUUUAGGGCAACGAACGGUCGAUGGACUGCAGUGGUGCCUAGAGCUUGCGAUGAUGCUGGCAGAUUUGCUACGUGGAACCCAGAGAACUCCCAUCAAAUAAGUAGAAAUGUUCAGUGUCUUGCUUAAAGUAGCGGUGCUUUGCCAAGGAGCUACAGAACCAUCAAGAAAGGAGAAGCCAACGUGAGGUGUAAGAAAUGCAUACAACUCUUCCAAGCUUUGGUCUUCUCACCUGUAUGAUGGAAAGAGCUGUGAUUUAAGAAGGGACAGGUGGCUCCAGCCAAAUCCAGCCCCUGAGGUGUGGCAGCGGCAGAAAGAAAGGUGGGAAAGAAGGAAAGCAAACAGCUCUUGUGUGUGACUUUGGCCAAUUACUUGCUGGUAGGCGUCAAGGAAGACAGGGCACAGUCUGCUCACCUUUUCCACAAAUAGACUGAGGGUUCCACCUGAGCACCUUCCAGCCAUUUCCCUCCAGACACCUCCAGCUCCCACCCAGAUAAACACGAAAUCCUUUCCUGUUUCCCUGGCUUUUCCCAUUUAUUGGCAUGACCUUUCCUGAGCACAGCAUCCGAGGAAGGUCCUGCAACCUACCCUGGUCCCCAGGCUUGCAGAAGACCUGCCAGAUCCUUUGUGGGAAGACCGCAGGGAGCCCACUGCAUUUUUUUUUCCAGUUGGCCGUGCUGUGGAUGCUCUUUGCUGCUGCAGGUGCUUGGCUGCAAGUGGCACACAAAAUCCACUUGUGUUGGAGCUCUCUCUGCGUAGCAGAUGGCUUUGUGAAGAACAAAGCAGAGGGCUGCUUGCAAUGAAGGAGAAGUGUGCUUUGCUGAGGGCAGGAUGUUCGCUCUGCAGCUCAGGGGAACCAGCUGGUAACGCUGCAGACCCUCUGCGUUUGGUGGCCAUGGGACGAAAGUGACACCAGGCUGCAUGUAAGCCCUGUGAAUGUUCUGCUUGAACAAAAGCAGGAGUGGUGCAGGCAGGAGGAACAGCUCUUUGCUUUUCUGCACUCUGCUAACACACCUACUUUCUGCUCUGCACCACUGCUGACAGUGUUGCUGCCUCGAACCAACGUUUUAUCCCAGUGAUACAGAAACACAGCGUUGACCUCGUUCCAGGGCCAGCCUCCAGCACUUCUUCCUACCUCCCAGAAAGGCCACAGAACCACUGAAAGCCUGAGGCUUGGUGACACUGCUAUGUGCCAGGGAUAGGAGCCUUUGUGAGCAAAGCCUUUGUUCUGUGCCACACAACAAAGCCCAGUAUCGAUCAGCCUUUUACCUGCCACCUGUUUACCCUGCCUGCCUUACAUUGUGCCAGAAGAAAAACCAGGAAACAGCAGCAGGCAGUAACUCACAGAAACCAGUGGGAGCUGGAGGAACCCAUCGCAGGAGCACAGUGCUGGUUUCCUUCCAGGAGAGAUGACUUCCAGAAUUCCUACAGAAUUCAAGAUGGACAGCAUUUCAAGAUGAAAAAAAAGCCCUUAAAGCGGAGCGUUGGGGCAACCUGAUUGCUGUUGGCUCCGUGUCAGCCUGGUUAUUUCUCUCUCUGCCUUGUGAAGCUCUUCAAACCCUGACAGGGCCCCAUCUGUUGCUGUGAGUUCCUCGCAAAGCGGGCUACAAAAGUAGUUGCUUCACACCGUCAGACAGGGCCAAAUUUUCAUGCGUGUUGUCAAUCACCACUUGCACAAACCACAAGGACCAUCCCACGGGCCGUGCUGAGAGCUAUUUCUAUUUUCUCACCACGGAAAGCAUUUAUUCGGCAUAGCUGGUCAUUUGGAACCGCUCACCCUGCCUCUUGCAGCUUCAGAUGAGGAAGAUCCCCUUGUUAUGCAUCUUAAUAAGAUGCUCAGUUAGCCCCCAUCAGCUCAGCUGGACAUGUCGAUGGCCACGGUGGGCUCAGCUGGUCACUAAACAGCAAUAAAAGGCCAAAGGGAGCGGAUAGCCUCCGUGUGGAAUGGCUGUGGGUUUCAUGAGUAGCUGUUCACCUCUGAGCUGGGAGAAAAAUGACUUUCAGCAUCUGUUUCCACCGACCCAGGAGCUCCCAACUUCUCGGUUGCUGUUAGGAAAAUGCCUGAACUCCAAAAGGGCGCUUGAGCACCAGAGAGAAACAGAAAUGGGAUCCUCGAUAAGAAACUCCAACUCCUCUGAAAUGUAGAGGUGUUGGAUGAGGAGUGCACACAGAGGAAAGGAAAACAAAGAGUCCAGCAGCUGCAGAUCAGGAAUAGCACUGCAAGUGCAUAAAAUUGUCUUGAGGAGACGCUGCGAUAUAUCAAAGGAAGCAACAAGUUCCUGUGAAAGAGCUGUGCUGUGGAGAGGGCUAUCACUCGUACCCUGCAAAAUGAGACUUGCCAGCAUGAGUCACGGUAAGCAGGAUGGAGAUACCAUCUGCACUGUCUGAGCAGUUCGGGGUAAGGAGAUUUCCUAAUGGCAAAUUCCUGACCAUUGAGUGAGACUGGGCUGACUGAGAGAGCUGUGCCAUCCUCGUUGUCGUGCCUCAGAGUGCUGCUCAGGUGGGGUUGGGAGUGCAUCCUGCUGUGCUGCUCUGAAAUGCUGCUGCUGGCACGGCUUAUGGCUGCUCUCAUUGGGGGCAGAGCGAAUU